CCUACGGGAGGCUGCAGUCGAGAAUUAUUCACACUGCGGGAAACCCUGAUGCUGCGACGCCGCGUGCGGGAAUGAACGUCUUCGGUCUGUAAACCCCUGUCCUGUGGGAGCAACUAAACAAGCUAGCACCACACGAGGAAAAGCCGGCUAACUCUGUGCCAGCAGCCGCGGUAAUACGGAGGUCUCAAGCGUUGUUCGGUAGCACGGGUCGUAAGGCGUGCGAAGGCGGUUUCGUAAGUAGUGUGUGAAAGGCGCGGGCCCAACCGGCGGACGGCACAUGAUACUGCGAGACUAGGGUAAUGGAGGGGGAACCGGAAUUCUCGGUGUAGCAGUGAAAUGCGUAGAUAUCGAGAGGAACACUCGGGGCGAAGGCGGGUUCCUGGACAUUAACUGACGCUGAGGCACGAAGGCCAGGGGAGCGAAAGGGAUUAGAUACCCUUGUAGUC
RNAcentral lists this ribosomal RNA (446 nucleotides) under uncultured bacterium. Its description in RNAcentral is "partial 16S ribosomal RNA". It matches the Rfam family "Bacterial small subunit ribosomal RNA", at positions 338 to 795 of the family's 1533-position model. The record is from RNAcentral.